Molecule: non-coding RNA, 109 nt
Organism: Karstenula rhodostoma CBS 690.94
Lineage: Eukaryota; Fungi; Ascomycota; Dothideomycetes; Pleosporales; Didymosphaeriaceae
Source: the annotation of a GenBank genome assembly
GGCGCUUUGACGGAGUGGUUAACGUGAUUGACUCGAAACGAGGGCCUUCAUUGCCUUCGUGUGCUAUCAAUUUCCUUCGGGAGCGCAGGUUCGAAUCCUGCAGGCGUCG